UACGGGGGGAGCAAGCGUUGUUCGGAUUUACUGGGCGUAAAGGGCGCGUAGGCGGCCACCGCAAGUCAGUUGUGAAAUCUCUGGGCUUAACCCAGAAAGGUCAACUGAUACUGCGGGGCUAGAGUGCAGAAGGGGCAACUGGAAUUCUCGGUGUAGCGGUGAAAUGCGUAGAUAUCGGGAGGAAUACCGAUGGCGAAGGCAGGUCUCUGGGCUAUAACUGACGCUCAUGCACGAAAGCGUGGGGAGCAAACAGG
This 254-nucleotide ribosomal RNA is filed under the name uncultured bacterium. RNAcentral's name for it is "partial 16S ribosomal RNA". It matches the Rfam family "Bacterial small subunit ribosomal RNA", at positions 524 to 776 of the family's 1533-position model. The record is from RNAcentral.